RNAcentral lists this ribosomal RNA (120 nucleotides) under Escherichia coli. RNAcentral describes it as "partial 23S ribosomal RNA". It matches the Rfam family "Bacterial large subunit ribosomal RNA", at positions 1 to 119 of the family's 2925-position model. The record is from RNAcentral. Lineage: Bacteria; Pseudomonadati; Pseudomonadota; Gammaproteobacteria; Enterobacterales; Enterobacteriaceae. RNAcentral also lists the same sequence under 4 other names.
GGUUAAGCGACUAAGCGUACACGGUGGAUGCCCUGGCAGUCAGAGGCGAUGAAGGACGUGCUAAUCUGCGAUAAGCGUCGGUAAGGUGAUAUGAACCGUUAUAACCGGCGAUUUCCGAAU